Molecule: long non-coding RNA, 231 nt
Filed under: Elaeis guineensis (African oil palm)
Lineage: Eukaryota; Viridiplantae; Streptophyta; Magnoliopsida; Arecales; Arecaceae
Description: long non-coding RNA (EGUI_LNC056045)
Source: RNAcentral
AUCGUCCACUUGAAGCCUUGAUCGGAUCUUCCUUUGCGGAAGUGCUAGCUUGCAUCAAAGGCUCUGGAUGGCUGAUCCAAGCUCCUUUCUUCAGAUCUCUUGGACUCCUAUGGAUCAAAAAAUAAAGCUUUAUGAGAAGGUAGUGGUGUGGAAGAUUGGAUAAAACUCACUCUUGUAUUUUCUUCUCACAAAACUUAGAGUUGAAACCCUAGAACCCAUAGUUCACGCCCG